This 255-nucleotide ribosomal RNA is filed under the name uncultured bacterium. RNAcentral describes it as "partial 16S ribosomal RNA". It matches the Rfam family "Bacterial small subunit ribosomal RNA", at positions 524 to 776 of the family's 1533-position model. The record is from RNAcentral.
UACGUAGGGUGCAGGCGUUAAUCGGAAUUACUGGGCGUAAAGCGUGCGCAGGCGGUCUUUUAAGUCAGAUGUGAAAUCCCCGGGCUUAACCUGGGAACUGCGUUUGAAACUGGAAGGCUAGAGUGUGGCAGAGGGGGGGCGGAAUUCCACGUGUAGCAGUGAAAUGCGUAGAUAUGUGGAGGAACACCGAUGGCGAAGGCAGCCCCCCUGGGCUAACACUGACGCUCAUGCACGAAAGCGUGGGGAGCAAACAGG